CGCUGGGAGGUCUAAUCGUCGUCGUUGACGCAACGGGGAAUAGUGGAAUAGGUCGAGGUGUCUGUGGCUUCGUUGGACGAAUCGUUGGUCUCGGAGAAUGUAUGCCAGACACGAUUCCAGCCGCGGGAAUUACGCCAGAUGUGGUACACCACGUGAUAGUAUUUGGCGGUGGUUACCUCGCGACGUCGGGUUUUUCGGACAACGGACAGCACACGCCAGGUCCUGACACCUUCCAGGAGAACCCUCGGCCGUGGUGCAACCAGAUGACACCGACGAGGGUUCCUUCUCUCGAUCAACGAUGACUUCCGUUUGGGAUGCAGACGGAGAUGGCGAGGAACGAUCUGGCGAAGGUGUGGCGACUGGCGUCGUUCUCAGGGGCAGAGUUACACCGCGCACCAACGGCGCUAUACUGUCUGUUACAUUGCGUCCUGGAAAUACCAAAAAUAUUUUUCGAAAUGGUGUAUAUUGCAGAUGGUAAUUCCUUCGGAGGAUAGUUCGAGUUCUCCACGCCUCUGGUCAUGUUGACGAUGUAGCUGCCCACCGUGUUCAAAGCGCCUAAAGUCUCGCUGAUCGCGACCAACGGGCCAAAGCACCACGCUUGACCCUGAAGAGGAAAACAAAACGUCGGAGCGGGAGGAAAGGCGAGACGAGGAGGGACGUAUAAAGUUUGGAAUAACGUGGCCCGGCUUCGAAGGAGGCCUUUUCGGAACGAGUUAACG
This is a long non-coding RNA of Hylaeus volcanicus, 719 nucleotides long. RefSeq lists it as uncharacterized. Lineage: Eukaryota; Metazoa; Arthropoda; Insecta; Hymenoptera; Colletidae. The record is from RefSeq and is a predicted model, not a curated record. The transcript is spliced from 5 exons.